This 307-nucleotide long non-coding RNA is filed under the name Nicotiana benthamiana. RNAcentral's name for it is "long non-coding RNA (NBEN_LNC038969)". Lineage: Eukaryota; Viridiplantae; Streptophyta; Magnoliopsida; Solanales; Solanaceae. The record is from RNAcentral.
ACAUAACUACAAUCACAUGCAAUAAUAUCAUACAGUAACUACCAUAAUUAACAGCCAUAGGGGGGACAUAAGCUAAAAUACAAAUCAUCUAUGGGUAACCCUGCUGGCCCACUCCCAACCCCGGAUGAGGCGUACGAAAAACUCUAGGAGCCUCUAUCCUACAACCCUGAUUCUAGACCUCCAGACUCUCCUAUCAAGGGUCAUGUCAUCGGAAACCUGCAUUCUAGUCAUGUCCUGCCUAAUCACCUCUCCCCAAUGCUUCUUAGGCCUCCCUCUGCCUCGCCGACCGCCAACAAUCUCCAGCCGC